CCUACGGGUGGCAGCAGUGGGGAAUAUUGGACAAUGGGCGAAAGCCUGAUCCAGCCAUGCCGCGUGUGUGAAGAAGGCCUUCGGGUUGUAAAGCACUUUCAGUGGGGAAGAAAGCCUUGGGGCUAAUACCCUCGAGGAAGGACAUCACCCACAGAAGAAGCACCGGCUAACUCCGUGCCAGCAGCCGCGGUAAUACGGAGGGUGCGAGCGUUAAUCGGAAUUACUGGGCGUAAAGCGCGCGUAGGCGGUCUGAUAAGCCGGUUGUGAAAGCCCCGGGCUCAACCUGGGAACGGCAUCCGGAACUGUCAGGCUAGAGUGCAGGAGAGGAAGGUAGAAUUCCCGGUGUAGCGGUGAAAUGCGUAGAGAUCGGGAGGAAUACCAGUGGCGAAGGAGGCCUUCUGGACUGACACUGACGCUGAGGUGCGAAAGCGUGGGUAGCAAACAGGAUUAGAUACCCGUGUAGUC
This 465-nucleotide ribosomal RNA is filed under the name Vreelandella stevensii. Its description in RNAcentral is "partial 16S ribosomal RNA". It matches the Rfam family "Bacterial small subunit ribosomal RNA", at positions 338 to 795 of the family's 1533-position model. Lineage: Bacteria; Pseudomonadati; Pseudomonadota; Gammaproteobacteria; Oceanospirillales; Halomonadaceae. The record is from RNAcentral.